Molecule: long non-coding RNA, 4133 nt
Filed under: Solanum tuberosum (potato)
Lineage: Eukaryota; Viridiplantae; Streptophyta; Magnoliopsida; Solanales; Solanaceae
Description: long non-coding RNA (STUB_LNC000108)
Source: RNAcentral
AAUCGUUAACAAACCAUAAAAAUCCUAAACACCUUAAAACCCUAAACCUAAAAAUUCCUCUAAACCUAAUAAAACCCUAGAAAACCUUAAGCCCAAAACCCUAUAUCCUAAAAACCCUUAAAAAAACCAAACCCUAAGAAAUCCUAAAUGCUAAAUAAUAUACCCUAAGAAACUCUUAAUCCUUAUCUCUAAAUCAUAGGGCUAUACCUUAAACCCCAAACCAUAUGGAAUCCUAAAAUAUCCUACACCCUAAAAUCCAUUUAAACACCUACAACUAUAAUCCCUUUAAAACCAUAAGUCCUAGAAAAAACCCUAAAUAUAUUAGGGUUACGUAAUCCUAAAUCUUAAGAAAUCCAAAUUCUUAAAAAACCAUAAGAAACCCUAAAACAUUUAAAAACGUUAAGCAUAAAAAUCAUAAACCUAAAAAAAACCAUAAACUCUAAAAAACACUUAACCUAAAAUCCGAAUAGCUAAAACCUAAACUAAGAAACCCUAAGAAACUCUAAACCUUAAACCCUUAUAAACCCCAAUAACCUAAAACCUAAGAUCCUAAACCCUAAACCCUAAAAAAAUCACUAAGAAAUCCUAAACCUUAAAAAUCACUAAGAAAAACUAAACCCUAAAAAACCUAAAAAAAAAACUUUUAAACCCCUAAACCUAAAGAACCCUAAAUCCAAAAGUCUAAACCUUAAACCCUAAAUCCUUAAAAAUCAUAAGCCGAAAACCCUAACCAUAAGAAAACCCUAAACCCAAAAAAGCACUAAGGAACCCAAAACCCUAGAAAAGAAUAAAUUUGUUUUUAUAAACUCUAACCCUAGAAAACCUCUAAAAAAUCUAAAACCUAACAAACCUAAACCCUAUUUUAGAAAACACUAAAUUUAAAAUCAUAAGCCCUUAACCCAAAGAAACCAUAAGCCUUAAGAACCCUAAAUCGUAAGAAAUCAUAACAAUCUUGAAAACCCCCUUUUUAAAAAUCCUAAACCCUAAGAAACACUAAACCCUAAACCUUAGGGAGACCCCUAAACCUCAAGACUUGUGAAACACCAACAAACCCUAAAGCCUAAGAAAUCCUAAAGCCUAAAAACACCUUUAAAAAUACUAAACCUAAAAACACCCUCAAAACCCGUAACCCCUAAAAACCCUAAAUUUAAAGUCCUAAGCCCUUAACCCAAAGAAACCUUGAGACUUAAGAACACCUAAAUCUAACCCGUAACCCCUAACACCACAAAUUUAAAAUCCUAAGCCCUUAACCCAAAGAAACCCUAAGCCUUAAGAACCCCUAAACCGUAGGAAAUCAUAACAAUCUUGAAAACCCCUUUUAAAAUCCUAAACCCUAAGAAACACUAAACCAUAAACCUUAGGGAAACCCCUAAACCUCAAGACUUGUGAAACACCAACAAACCCUAAAGCCUAAGAAAUCCUAAAGCCUAAAAACACCCUUAAAACCCGUAACACCUAAAAACCCUAAAUUUAAAAUCCUAAGCUCUUAACCCAAAGAAAUUCUAAGCCCUAAGAACCCGUAACCCCUAAAAACCCAGCAUCUCUAGGUAGUUAGAGGAUUUUAUUCAUAGAUUGUUUUUGUCACUCCCCGAGGUUACCUGCUUGAAGUAACACGAGACCUAGAAUCACGAGUGACCCAAGCUAACCUUAAGUUGGCAUAUCAUAAGCAUAUUAGAUCAAAACCUUUAAAAGCCUAAUCUAAGAAAUCUAAAACCCCUAAGAAACCCUAAACCCUAAGAAACACUAAACCCUAAACCUUAGGGAAACCCCAAGACUUAUGAAACACCAACAAACCCUAAAGCCUAAGAAAAUCCUAAAGCCUAUAAACACCUUUAAAAAUACUAAACCUAAAAACACCCUUAAAACCCGUAACCCCUGUCACGAGUGACCCCAAGCUAACCUUGAGCUGGCAUAUCAUAAGCAUAUUAGAUCAACACCUUUAAAAGCCUAAAAUCUAAGAAAUCUAAAACCCCUAAGAAACCCUAAACCCUAAGAAACACUAAACCCUAAACCUUAGGGAAAACCUUAAACCUCAAGACUUGUGAAACACCAACAAACCCUUAAAUCCUAAGAAAUCCUAAAGCCUAAAAACACCUUUAAAAAUACUAAACAUAAAAACAACCUUAAAACCCGUAACCCCUAAAAACCUUAAAUUUAAAUCCUAAGCCCUUAACCCAAAUAAAUUCUAAUCCCUAAGAACCCCUAAACCGUUGUAAAUCAUAACAAUCUUGAAAGCCCUUUAAAAAUCUUAAACCUAAAAAAAACUCUAAACCUAAAAAAUUCAACAAAAACUUAAGCCCUAAACCUUAAAACCCUAAACUCUUAAAAACCGUAAACCCAAAAAAUCCUAUAAAAGCCAUACGAUCUAAGAACCCCUUAAUCGUUAACAAACCAUAAAAAUCCUAAACACCUUAAAACCCUAAACCUAAAAAUUCCUCUAAACCUAAUAAAACCCUAGAAAAUCUUAAUCCCAAAACCCUAAAAUCCUAAAAACCCUUAAAAAAAACCAAACCCUAAGAAAUCCUAAACCCUAAAUAAUAUACCCUAAGAAACUCUAAAUCCUUAACUCUAAAUCAUAGGGCUAAACCUUAAACCCCAAACCAUAUGGAAUCCAAAGAAAUCCUACACCCUAAAUCCAUUGAAACCCCUAAAACUAUAAUACCCGAGGAAAAAAAAUCCAUUUAAAACCAUAAGCCCAAGAAAAAACCCUAAAUAUAUUAGGCUUACGUAAUCCUAAAUCUUAAGAAAUCCAAAUUCUUAAAAAAACCUAAGAAAUCCUAAAACAUUUAAAAACCUUAAUCAUAAAAAUCAUAAACCUAGAAAAAACCAUAAACUCUAAAAAAACACUUAAACUAAAAUCCGAAUAGCUAAAACCUAAACAAAGAAACCCUAAGAAACUCUAAGCCUUAAACUCUUAUAAACCUUAAUACCCUAAAACUUAAGAUCCUAAACCCUAAACCCUAAAAAAAUCACUAAGAAAUCCAAAACCCUAAAAAUCACUAAGAAAAACUAAACCAUAAAAACCUAAAAAAAAAACUUUAAAACCCCUAAAUCUAAAGAACCCUAAAUCCCAAACUCUAAACCUUGAACCCUAAACCCUUAAAAAUCAUAAGCCAAAAGCCGAAAACCCAAAACCCUAAACCCAAAAAAGCACUAAGGAACCCAAAACCCUAGAAAAGAAUAAAUUUAUUUUUAUAAACUCUAACCCUUGAAAACCUCUAAAAAAUCUUAAACCUAACAAACCUAAACCCUAUUCUAGAAAAACCCUAAAUUUAAAAUCAUAAGCCUAAGACCCAAAGAAACCCUAAGCCUUAAGAACCCCUAAAUCGUAAGAAAUCAUAACAAUCUUGAAAAUCCCUUUUUAAAAUCCUAAACCCUAAGAAACACUAAACCCUAAACCUUAGGGAGACCCCUAAACCUCAAGACUUGUGAAACACCAACAAACCCUAAAGCCUAAGAAAUCCUAAAGCCUAAAAACACCUUUAAAAAUACUAAACCUAAAAACACCCUUUAAACCCGUAACCCCUAAAAAUCCUAAAUUUAAAAUCCUAAUCCCUUAACCCAAAGAAAUUCUAAGCCCUAAGAACCCCUAAACCGUAGUAAAUCAUAACAAUCUUGAAAACCCCUUUUAAAAUCUUAAACCUAAAAAAACUCUAAACCUAAGAAAUUCAACAAAAACUUAAGCCAUAAACCUUAAAAACCCUUAAAUAAAAACCUAGACCUUAUACCCAAAGAAACCCUAAACCUUAAGAAACCCUAAGCUUUAAGAAAUAAAAAAAAAGCCCUAAAACACUUUUAAAAACCGUAAACCCUAAAAACCCUAUAAAAUCCGUACGAUCUAAGAACCCCUUAAUCGUUAACAAACCAUAAAAAUCCUAAACACCUUAAAACCCUAAAAAAUCUUCUAAACCUAAUAAAACCCUAGAAAAUCUUAAGUCCAAAACCCUAAAUCCUAAAAACCCUUAAAAAAACCAAACCCUAAGAAAUCCUAAACGCUAAAUAAUAUACCCUAAGAAACUCUAAAUCCUUAACUCUAAAUCAUAGGGCUAAACCUUAAACCCCAAACCAUAUGGAAUCCUAAGAAAUCCUACACCCUAAAAUCCAUUUAAACACCUAAAACUAUAAUACUCGAG